AGAGUUUGAUCCGUGGCUCAGAACGACGCUGGCGGCAGGCCUAACACAUGCAAGUCGAGCGCCCCGCAAGGGGGAGCGGCGGACGGGUGAGUAACGCGUGGGAACGUGCCUCUUGCUACGGAAUAGCCUCGGGAAACUGGGAGUAAUACCGUAUGUGCCCUACGGGGGAAAGAUUUAUCGGCAAGAGAUCGGCCCGCGUUGGAUUAGGUAGUUGGUGGGGUAAUGGCCUACCAAGCCGACGAUCCAUAGCUGGUUUGAGAGGAUGAUCAGCCACACUGGGACUGAGACACGGCCCAGACUCCUACGGGAGGCAGCAGUGGGGAAUAUUGCGCAAUGGGCGAAAGCCUGACGCAGCCAUGCCGCGUGAGUGAUGAAGGCCCUCGGGUCGUAAAGCUCUGUCGGGAGGGACGAAGGGUGGCAACACUCUGACGGUACCUCGCAAGAAAGCACCGGCUAACUCUGUG
This 464-nucleotide ribosomal RNA is filed under the name uncultured bacterium. RNAcentral's name for it is "partial 16S ribosomal RNA". It matches the Rfam family "Bacterial small subunit ribosomal RNA", at positions 8 to 507 of the family's 1533-position model. The record is from RNAcentral.